UCUCUCUCUCUCUCUCUCUCUCUCAUUCUCAUGGGGGAGAGAGAAAAGCUUCCACACCUUUCCUAAUCGAAGAAGGCAGGGCAGAAAUUUCCCCACGGUCUCCUUAACGCUCCGAAACCAUGGCCGGCCGCAGGACGUACGGAGCCUGCGGCGAUCCUUCAUCAGUUUGGCGGUGGCGCCUCCGCCUUGACGGCGGCGCGUUCGUCUUAUUUCGGUGCUAUCCUACCUGAGCUUGCGUUAAUUAAUUUCUUAUCCUUCUCAUUUCCUUUUCCUUUCGUUUUUAAUUACUGUUCUUGACCUUGUAAGACCUUUUCUUGAUCUUGUAAGACCUCGUUCUGCAACGUUUUUCUUCGCUUUUUCUUCUGUGAAAAACCUUAUAUUAGUUGUUUCCGAUAUAAGGUUGAAUCCUCGUCCUUCUCCGUCUCCCUUGUCUAUCCCUCCUGAGCUUGAGAGCCUCUCGGAGUUAAAUUGUAUUUACAGGAAUAAAUCGCUUCUUGAAGUUAGGGUUUUGAAAGAGAACGGAUCAA
This is a long non-coding RNA of Diospyros lotus (date-plum), 527 nucleotides long. RefSeq lists it as uncharacterized. The record is from RefSeq and is a predicted model, not a curated record. The transcript is spliced from 2 exons. NCBI's taxonomy places the organism in Eukaryota, Viridiplantae, Streptophyta, Magnoliopsida, Ericales, Ebenaceae.